Molecule: microRNA precursor, 65 nt
Filed under: Tetraodon nigroviridis (spotted green pufferfish)
Lineage: Eukaryota; Metazoa; Chordata; Actinopteri; Tetraodontiformes; Tetraodontidae
Description: Tni-Mir-223_pre stem-loop
Rfam family: mir-223 microRNA precursor family
Source: RNAcentral
AGUGUAUUUGACAAGCUGUGUUUGACACUCUGUAUCUGCGAGUGUCAGUUUGUCAAAUACCCCAA